RNAcentral lists this transfer RNA (110 nucleotides) under Streptomyces poriferorum. Its description in RNAcentral is "tRNA-OTHER". The record is from RNAcentral. Lineage: Bacteria; Bacillati; Actinomycetota; Actinomycetes; Kitasatosporales; Streptomycetaceae.
GCGGAGGUCUAAAGGCCAGGUUAGGGGAACGUGACAUGCCAAAGCGGCGCGGUCCUGAAAACCGUCGUGGCAGCGAUGUCACCGUGGGUUCAAAUCCCACACCCACCGCA